This is an unclassified non-coding RNA of Colobus angolensis palliatus, 108 nucleotides long. It matches the Rfam family "Y RNA". Rfam says of the family: Y RNAs are components of the Ro ribonucleoprotein particle (Ro RNP), in association with Ro60 and La proteins. The Y RNAs and Ro60 and La proteins are well conserved, but the function of the Ro RNP is not known. Lineage: Eukaryota; Metazoa; Chordata; Mammalia; Primates; Cercopithecidae. The record is from Ensembl.
UGCUGGUCUGAGGGUAGUGAGUUAUCUCAACAGUUCACAGUCAGUUACAGAUCAAACUUCUUGUUUACUCUUUGCCCCCUUCUCACUACUGCACUUGAGUAGUCUUAA